UACAGAGGUCUCAAGCGUUGUUCGGAUUCACUGGGCGUAAAGGGUGCGUAGGCGGCGCGGAAAGUCGGAUGUGAAAUCCCGGGGCUCAACCCCGGAACUGCAUUCGAUACUUCCGCGCUGGAGGACUGGAGAGGAGACCGGAAUUCACGGUGUAGCAGUGAAAUGCGUAGAUAUCGUGAGGAAGACCAGUGGCGAAGGCGGGUCUCUGGACAGUUCCUGACGCUGAGGCACGAAGGCUGGGGGAGCAAACGCG
RNAcentral lists this ribosomal RNA (253 nucleotides) under uncultured bacterium. Its description in RNAcentral is "partial 16S ribosomal RNA". It matches the Rfam family "Bacterial small subunit ribosomal RNA", at positions 524 to 776 of the family's 1533-position model. The record is from RNAcentral.